GAAUUUUGGACAAUGGGGGAAACCCUGAUCCAGCCAUGCCGCGUGCGGGAAGAAGGCCUUCGGGUUGUAAACCGCUUUCGGCCGGAACGAAAUGGUUAGGGCGAACAGUCCUGACUGAUGACGGUACCGGAAGAAGAAGCACCGGCUAACUACGUGCCAGCAGCCGCGGUAAUACGCAGGGUGCGAGCGUUAAGCGGAAUGACUGGGCGUAAAGCGUGCGCAGGCGGCUCGCUAAGACAGGUGUGAAAGCCCCGGGCUUAACCUGGGAAUGGCGCUUGUGACUGGAGAGCUGGAGUGCGGCAGAGGGAGAUGGAAUUCCUGGUGUAGCAGUGAAAUGCGUAGAUAUCAGGAGGAACACCGAUGGCGAAGGCAGUCUCCUGGGUCAGCACUGACGCUCAUGCACGAAAGCGUGGGGAGCAAACAGG
Molecule: ribosomal RNA, 425 nt
Filed under: uncultured bacterium
Lineage: Bacteria
Description: bacterial SSU rRNA
Rfam family: Bacterial small subunit ribosomal RNA
Source: RNAcentral